Molecule: ribosomal RNA, 450 nt
Filed under: uncultured bacterium
Lineage: Bacteria
Description: partial 16S ribosomal RNA
Rfam family: Bacterial small subunit ribosomal RNA
Source: RNAcentral
GUGGGGAAUCUUCCGCAAUGGACGAAAGUCUGACGGAGCGACGCCGCGUGAGUGAAGAAGGCCUUCGGGUCGUAAAGCUCUGUCAUCAGGGACGAAUGGCCGGUGGAGUGGAAAGCCACCGGAUUGACGGUACCUGAGAAGGAAGCCACGGCUAACUACGUGCCAGCAGCCGCGGUAAUACGUAGGUGGCAAGCGUUGUCCGGAAUUAUUGGGCGUAAAGCGCGCGCAGGUGGGAUCUUAAGUCCAUUUUGAAAGUUCGGAGCUCAACUCCGUGAUGGGAUGGAAACUGGGAUUCUUGAGUACCGGAGAGGAAAGCGGAAUUCCCCGUGUAGCGGUGAAAUGCGUAGAUAUGGGGAGGAACACCAGUGGCGAAGGCGGCUUUCUGGACGGUGUCUGACACUGAGGCGCGAAAGCCAGGGGAGCGAACGGGAUUAGAAACCCGAGUAGUCC